CCUACGGGAGGCAGCAGUGAGGAAUAUUGGUCAAUGGACGAGAGUCUGAACCAGCCAAGUAGCGUGAAGGAUGACUGCCCUAUGGGUUGUAAACUUCUUUUAUAAAGGAAUAAAACGAGGCACGUGUGCCUUUUUGCAUGUACUUUAUGAAUAAGGAUCGGCUAACUCCGUGCCAGCAGCCGCGGUAAUACGGAGGAUCCGAGCGUUAUCCGGAUUUAUUGGGUUUAAAGGGAGCGUAGAUGGGUUGUUAAGUCAGUUGUGAAAGUUUGCGGCUCAACCGGAAAAUUGCAAUUGAUACUGGCAGUCUUGAGUAAAGUUGAGGUAGGCGGAAUUCGUGGUGUAGCGGUGAAAUGCUUAGAUAUCACGAAGAACCCCGAUUGCGAAGGCAGCUGACUAAACUGGGACUGACAUUGAUGCUCGAAAGUGUGGGUAUCAAACAGGAUUAGAUACCCCUGUAUC
This 459-nucleotide ribosomal RNA is filed under the name uncultured bacterium. RNAcentral describes it as "partial 16S ribosomal RNA". It matches the Rfam family "Bacterial small subunit ribosomal RNA", at positions 338 to 795 of the family's 1533-position model. The record is from RNAcentral.